AAUGAACGUUGGCGGCGUGGAUUAGGCAUGCAAGUCGAGCGAGAAGGGUUUGGUGCUUGCAUUGAACCUGGAAAGCGGCGAAAGGGAGAGUAACGCGUAGGGUAUCUGCCCCCAGGUCUGGGAUAGCGGCGGGAAACUGCCGGUAAUACCGGAUGAUGUCUCCGGACCAAAGGUGUGAUUCCGCCUGGGGAUGAUCCUGCGUCCUAUUAGUUUGUUGGUGGGGUAAUGGCCUACCAAGACGAUGAUGGGUAGCGGGCGUGAGAGCGUGGCCCGUCUCACUGGGACUGAGACACUGCCCAGACACCUACGGGUGGCUGCAGUCGAGAAUCUUCCGCAAUGGACGCAAGUCUGACGGAGCGACGCCGCGUGCGGGAUGAAGGCCUUCGGGUUGUAAACCGCUGUCAGUGGGGUGGAAAUCAUUGGGGGCUAUCCCCCUUUGUUGACCUAACCGCAGAGGAAGUCCGGGCUAAGUACGUG
This 477-nucleotide ribosomal RNA is filed under the name uncultured bacterium. RNAcentral's name for it is "bacterial SSU rRNA". It matches the Rfam family "Bacterial small subunit ribosomal RNA", at positions 28 to 507 of the family's 1533-position model. The record is from RNAcentral.